This 24-nucleotide microRNA is filed under the name Tribolium castaneum (red flour beetle). Its description in RNAcentral is "tca-miR-279d-5p". Its record names the gene tca-miR-279d-5p. Lineage: Eukaryota; Metazoa; Arthropoda; Insecta; Coleoptera; Tenebrionidae. The record is from miRBase by way of RNAcentral.
UGGCGAUUGUGGGUUUAGUCCACG